AACGAACGCUGGCGGCAUGCCUAACACAUGCAAGUCGAACGAGACCUUCGGGUCUAGUGGCGCACGGGUGCGUAACGCGUGGGAACCUGCCCUUAGGUUCGGAAUAACUCCCCGAAAGGGGUGCUAAUACCGGAUAAUGUCUUCGGACCAAAGAUUUAUCGCCUUUGGAUGGGCCCGCGUUGGAUUAGCUAGUUGGUAGGGUAAAAGCCUACCAAGGCGACGAUCCAUAGCUGGUCUGAGAGGAUGAUCAGCCACACUGGGACUGAGACACGGCCCAGACUCCUACGGGAGGCAGCAGUGGGGAAUAUUGGACAAUGGGCGAAAGCCUGAUCCAGCAAUGCCGCGUGAGUGAUGAAGGCCUUAGGGUUGUAAAGCUCUUUUACCCGGAAUGAUAAUGACAGUACCGGGAGAAUAAGCGCCGGCUAACUCCGUG
This 433-nucleotide ribosomal RNA is filed under the name uncultured bacterium. RNAcentral describes it as "partial 16S ribosomal RNA". It matches the Rfam family "Bacterial small subunit ribosomal RNA", at positions 29 to 507 of the family's 1533-position model. The record is from RNAcentral.